ACAAUCACAGUGCCUGUACAUGUCAUAAUAAGGUCAUUCUAACACUACAAUGUACACCAGUACCCAAACUGGAUCAUUCAUUUAAAAAAAAAUUCAUUCCAGAAGACAUAGUUUUUGUGGUCUUAAUAGCUAAAUUGUCCUGGGACACUCCAAAUGUGAUUUCUUUGUCCCGAGGCCAGUAGAAGGUUCCAUGUAGGUGAAAAUGGAUGUUUGGCUAGUUGAAGAGAAAUGGAAAUGAGUUCUGCAAGCUGACUUACUCAGUGGAAAUGGGGAGACACAUUACACCUUAUAGAGAAGCAGUUUCUGAGAGUCAGAGCUGGCUGGAGAAGAACUGCAUGGUCCCUGUCACUGGAGGUAUCUGUGAAUAAACUAGAUAAGCACUUUGGCUCACUUAGUUAAGCCUUGGUUUCUUUAACUGGAAAAUGGUAGUAAUAAGUAUCUCCCUUGGAGGUCACUGUGAA
This is a long non-coding RNA of Gorilla gorilla gorilla (western lowland gorilla), 461 nucleotides long. RefSeq lists it as uncharacterized. Lineage: Eukaryota; Metazoa; Chordata; Mammalia; Primates; Hominidae. The transcript has 3 exons. The record is from RefSeq and is a predicted model, not a curated record.